RNAcentral lists this non-coding RNA (29 nucleotides) under Rattus norvegicus (Norway rat). The record is from RNAcentral. Lineage: Eukaryota; Metazoa; Chordata; Mammalia; Rodentia; Muridae.
UUGUAACAAUAGAAUUUCUUUUAACAUGC